Molecule: long non-coding RNA, 456 nt
Filed under: Ananas comosus (pineapple)
Lineage: Eukaryota; Viridiplantae; Streptophyta; Magnoliopsida; Poales; Bromeliaceae
Description: long non-coding RNA (ACOM_LNC037911)
Source: RNAcentral
UUUUUUUUCUUGGAAAAACUUUAAAUACUAUUCCUGUGAUUUCGCACUUUCUCACUUUCGUAUUUGAUGGUUUAAAAUAUAUCACUUUAUGGUUUAAAAUAUAUCACUUUCGUACUCUGUGGUUUCAUUUUUCUCUUUUUAUUAUUUCAUUCACUAAGUUUUUUCGUUAAAUCAGUGAUAAAGUUAAAACUAAAUGGUAAGAAAGUGAAUAUUUGAUAAACUAUAUGUGAAAUAUCUGAAAUUUUUUGGUAUAUAAUUUAACGAAAAGUUAACAAAAGAACUGACGCAAAGAGAAAAAUGGAGCUACAGGGUACUAAAUUAAUACACUUUAAACCACAUAAUACUAAAGUGAGAACUUGUGAAAUCACAGGGGUGAUAUUUGAAGUUUUUUUUUUCUUCCAAUAAAUCGAAUAAAAUACUAUAAAAUAACUUAUUCUGCAUUCAAAUAGGACUUUA